UUAAAACCUGACUGCGCUUGCGUAGACCUUCCUGUCUGACUGUCCGAAGAAAGCGCCUCGGGGUAGGCCACGCCCACACACCGCCGGACAGGCCACGCCUAUACGCGGAAGCGAGCAGGAGGCGAGGCCUCCGGAGGAAGGGAGCGAAUGGGAACUAUGUCACCUGACCGGGCCUUGAAGCUCGCCCGCGCCAUUUUUGUUACUGAGAGUCUGUUCCUCUGUUUCUGUGUUUUUGAACUUGGAAUACUGGCAAUGUGCUCAAGCUCCAGCUAAAGGGAAACCUAAUUUGCAUCUAUUUUUCCAUGUAUGCUGAAAGACUCAGAAACGGAUGUCCAGGACUCAAGAAACCAAAUACCAAGUGUAGGAGAGAAAAAGCAGUAUUUUCCUUACCAAUCUUAAGCCUGA
Molecule: long non-coding RNA, 405 nt
Filed under: Mus pahari (shrew mouse)
Lineage: Eukaryota; Metazoa; Chordata; Mammalia; Rodentia; Muridae
Description: lncRNA (MGP_PahariEiJ_G0005022.1)
Source: RNAcentral